AGUGGGAUAGCUGGGUCAAAUGGUGGUUCCAUUCCCAAUUUUUUGAGGAAUCUCCAUAUUGCUUUCCGUAGUGGUUACACCAGUUUGCAGUCCCACCAGCAAU
Molecule: microRNA precursor, 103 nt
Filed under: Marmota monax (woodchuck)
Lineage: Eukaryota; Metazoa; Chordata; Mammalia; Rodentia; Sciuridae
Source: RNAcentral